GACGAGCGCUGGCGGCGUGCUUAACACAUGCAAGUCGAACGGAAAGGCCCUGCUUGCAGGGUACUCGAGUGGCGAACGGGUGAGUAACACGUGGGUGAUCUGCCCUGCACUUCGGGAUAAGCCUGGGAAACUGGGUCUAAUACCGGAUAGGAGCCAUUUUUAGUGUGAUGGUUGGAAAGUUUUUUCGGUGUAGGAUGAGCUCGCGGCCUAUCAGCUUGUUGGUGGGGUAAUGGCCUACCAAGGCGGCGACGGGUAGCCGGCCUGAGAGGGUGGACGGCCACAUUGGGACUGAGAUACGGCCCAGACUCCUACGGGAGGCAGCAGUGGGGAAUAUUGCACAAUGGGCGCAAGCCUGAUGCAGCGACGCCGCGUGGGGGAUGACGGCCUUCGGGUUGUAAACUCCUUUCGCUAGGGACGAAGCUUUUUGUGACGGUACCUAGAGAAGAAGCACCGGCUAACUACGUG
RNAcentral lists this ribosomal RNA (465 nucleotides) under uncultured bacterium. RNAcentral describes it as "partial 16S ribosomal RNA". It matches the Rfam family "Bacterial small subunit ribosomal RNA", at positions 28 to 507 of the family's 1533-position model. The record is from RNAcentral.